This is a long non-coding RNA of Gallus gallus (chicken), 2545 nucleotides long. The record is from Ensembl. NCBI's taxonomy places the organism in Eukaryota, Metazoa, Chordata, Aves, Galliformes, Phasianidae.
CUCAGCUCCCAAAGGCAAGUCAUUAGUCAGGAAUCUCAGGUUCCAUUACGAAAAAAGAAAUGUUUCCAGACCUCAAAAAUGCUCAGAAAAAAAAAAAAAAACAGAGUUUGAAAAGGAAAAUCCAUUCUAAAGGUUAAAAAACAGCAAGAGAAAAAAAGGGUCUCGUCAUUAAGAAAUAAGAAAUGAAACUUCACUCCAAGGUUGUUAUUAUUUUUAAAAGUAAUAAUUACCUUCUUUUUCCCACAAAGAGGGAAUAGGAGGUGAUGAAGCUUGAGUCAUUGUCUGGGACUACUAAUAUUGAAUUCUACAGUUAAUUUGACAAAUAAAAUCAGAUUAGUAUAAAGAGGUCAAAAUCUCAUAUGAAGGAGGAAGGUUAAUAACAAAACAUGCUUAUUGUUCUAAUGCCUGUUAUGAAUGUCUCAGAUUAAUUGAAAUUUAAUUCUGUUUUGGUUUUGCCAUUGUUUGCACAGCAAUAAGAGAACAUCAGACACUUUACAAACGCUGACGGCUGACUUAGCUGGAAUACAAAUACACGACCUUUAUAUGAGGGAUGGAAGCUGAGCAUUUAAUCAUGUUCUCCGAUUGGUCCCAGGCUGUACCUUUUGCGAGGCUGAAUAGCAUUACAGUCACAAAAUGCACGCUUUGUGGAGUGCUGGCACCAGAGGAAGACAGGCGGAUUCAGUCCAACAAUAGCUUUCCUGUUCCUACAGGACAGCUUGUGUCUUUACUAGCAAAAUGCUGAAGUGCCAUCAAUUCCUUGCGUGUGUCUUUGCUCCCAUGACCUCCUCUGACGGCGUCUUUCAAAGAAUUUAUUACUACACCAUGAACCUUUAGGAAAGAACACCACUACAGAGGACACCAUAUAAACAACCACUGCAGAGACAUGCUGUCCAGAGAGGGCCUGCAGAUUACAGCUGAGAAUUCAGGAAGCAAUAUCCCAGGUUAGAAAGUGGACGAACAGGACUAGGUGGAGAGAGUAAGGCCACAGACUGGUCUAGACAUAGAAGAGUGGCCAUUAACGAGUUUGGAAUUUUAUUUAUUUAAGUAUUUAUUUAACACAAUCCACUGAAGUGCCACAUUUAGAUUAGAUGUUGGUGGAAACUUUUUGCUGAGAGGGCGGUGAGGCGCUGGCACAGCUGCCCAGAGAAGCUGUGGUGCCCCAUCCCUGGAGGUGCUCAAGGCCAGGUUGGAAUGGGCCCUGGGCAGCCUGAGCUGGUGGGUUGGAAUCAGAUGACCUUUGAAGUCUCUUCUAACGCAAGCCAUUCUAUGUUUCUAUGGUUCUAUGAAAAGCUUAUUGUUUAAAGAGAUGCUUUGCCUUUUGUAAAGCCAUGUGUGCGUGUGAUCUGAAACAACAGCUUAUGAUGGUUCAGCAAGUGUUGGAAAGGACACGUGAAGCAACAGGGAAGCCUGUAACAGUCACAGCUGUGGGGAACUUUCCCAUGUGAUGGAGAUUUAGGGGUUGGGCUCUGCACGAGAGAGUGCUUUCAGCUGCAUUUUAGGGUGAGCCACAAGCUUGAGUGGGGAGCUCUUGCUGCAUGGCAGUUUUGUUCUUUUAUAGUGACCAGGAUGAGUCUUUUGCUGCGGGUGAACAAGUCCUGACAGCUUUCAUGGUUAACCAGAUUAGCCUGGGGAGAUACAGCCUUCCCCCAGCUCCACUGCUGCUGUGCAAGAUCUCUCCUGGUGCAACAAUAAGCAUGACAGCUUGUGCAGAUACAGAAGACAGCAGUUAGGAGGUUUCUGUGGCAAGUGACUGGUGUGAUGUGGCAUUGCCCACUGCUUCCCUGCUUCCAAGCAAACCUUCUGAAGUUGAAGAGUUGAAUUCUUCCAGCUGUGCUGAAACACUGUCCAAAAUGAUAGACAAUGAAGGUGACAUCCCAAAGUAACAGACCGCAAAUAACUACACUGGUCAAUAAAACCUUACUGACUUUCGUUGAUUUUUUUGUCUAGAUAAAGUAUGGGGUCACUUUUGCUUGAUAAAGUCUGUAAGAUCUGUAAUCUUCCAGUACUGAUAGGCCAAACAGCCCUCUUGUUUGAGAAGCCUUGCUAUGCGUAAUGACUUAAUUCCUCUGUUCUAGACUUGCUCAACAUGAAGUCAUUAAAGUUUCUUGUAGCCUUCUUUUUUCUCUACCCUGCUUCACAGUCAUCCUUUUACAUGUACAGUUCCUAUACCCUGAAACAUGUCUCCCUUUUAAUUCACCCGAUCCUCCUCCACACAGCCGCCUUACACAUAACUUUAUUCCCCUUGAACAUUCUCCUCACCUUCAGAAAAAAAAAAGACUAGUCCCUCUACCUAACUCUACCAUCUCUGAUGUUUCACGUCUCUUAACGUUCAAUUCCUCAUCUUCUCCUACUCACUUUGCAAUACCUGUGGAAUAGGAAUACGUGGGACACAGGUUGUUUAAUUCUGAGGCAAAGAGCACUCCACAGUUUAAGACUAAUCAGAUUUUAGUCAGAUGAGGGCAGUGUUAGGAAACAUGUUGGUUCCCAGUGCCACAUUCACUGCUUAUCCUCCCAGUACUUACGUAUCAUGUUUGCAUUAUAAAAU